RNAcentral lists this microRNA precursor (61 nucleotides) under Pristionchus pacificus. RNAcentral describes it as "mir-8364 microRNA precursor family". It matches the Rfam family "mir-8364 microRNA precursor family". The record is from Rfam by way of RNAcentral. Lineage: Eukaryota; Metazoa; Nematoda; Chromadorea; Rhabditida; Neodiplogasteridae.
UCCUCAUUUCGCGCACUCUCUCACCGGUCAGAGCUGCGAGAGAACACGCGACAUGAGGAGA